This 532-nucleotide ribosomal RNA is filed under the name uncultured bacterium. RNAcentral describes it as "bacterial SSU rRNA". It matches the Rfam family "Bacterial small subunit ribosomal RNA", at positions 777 to 1305 of the family's 1533-position model. The record is from RNAcentral.
AAUAGAUACCCCGGUAGUCCACGCCGUAAACGAUGAGUGCUAAGUGUUAGAGGGUUUCCGCCCUUUAGUGCUGCAGCUAACGCAUUAAGCACUCCGCCUGGGGAGUACGGUCGCNAAGACUGAAACUCAAAGGAAUUGACGGGGGGCCCGCACAAGCGGUGGAGCAUGUGGUUUAAUUCGAAGCAACGCGAAGAACCUUACCAGGUCUUGACAUCCCACUGACCGGUAUAGAGAUAUACCUUUCCCUUCGGGGACAGUGGUGACAGGUGGUGCAUGGUUGUCGUCAGCUCGUGUCGUGAGAUGUUGGGUUAAGUCCCGCAACGAGCGCAACCCUUGAUCUUAGUUGCCAGCAUUUAGUUGGGCACUCUAAGGUGACUGCCGGUGACAAACCGGAGGAAGGUGGGGAUGACGUCAAAUCAUCAUGCCCCUUAUGACCUGGGCUACACACGUGCUACAAUGGAUGGUACAAAGGGCUGCAAGACUGCGAAGUCAAGCCAAUCCCAUAAAACCAUUCUCAGUUCGGAUUGCAGGC